GAUGAACGCUGGCGGCGUGCCUAAUACAUGCAAGUCGAGCGAACGGACGAGAAGCUUGCUUCUCUGAUGUUAGCGGCGGACGGGUGAGUAACACGUGGAUAACCUACCUAUAAGACUGGGAUAACUUCGGGAAACCGGAGCUAAUACCGGAUGAUAUUUUGAACCGCAUGGUUCAAAAGUGAAAGACGGUCUUGCUGUCUCUUAUAGAUGGAUCCGCGCUGCAUUAGCUAGUUGGUAAGGUAACGGCUUACCAAGGCAACGAUGCAUAGCCGACCUGAGAGGGUGAUCGGCCACACUGGAACUGAGACACGGUCCAGACUCCUACGGGAGGCAGCAGUAGGGAAUCUUCCGCAAUGGGCGAAAGCCUGACGGAGCAACGCCGCGUGAGUGAUGAAGGUCUUCGGAUCGUAAAACUCUGUUAUUAGGGAAGAACAUAUGUGUAAGUAACUGUGCACAUCUUGACGGUACCUAAUCAGAAAGCCACGGCUAACUACGUG
Molecule: ribosomal RNA, 497 nt
Filed under: uncultured bacterium
Lineage: Bacteria
Description: partial 16S ribosomal RNA
Rfam family: Bacterial small subunit ribosomal RNA
Source: RNAcentral